This 331-nucleotide unclassified non-coding RNA is filed under the name soil metagenome. Its description in RNAcentral is "partial contains 5.8S ribosomal RNA, internal transcribed spacer 2, and large subunit ribosomal RNA". The stretch from base 1 to 120 matches the Rfam family "5.8S ribosomal RNA", at positions 35 to 154 of the family's 154-position model. The record is from RNAcentral.
GAUGAAGAACGCAGCGAAAUGCGAUACGUAAUGUGAAUUGCAGAUUUCAGUGAAUCAUCGAAUCUUUGAACGCACAUUGCGCCCGCUAGUAUUCUGGCGGGCAUGCCUGUUCGAGCGUCAUUUCAACCAUCAAGCCCUAGGCUUGCGUUGGAGCCCUGCGGCUGCCGCAGGCUCCCAAAUCCAGUGGCGGGCUCGUCGUCGUACCGAGUGCAGUAAACAUCCUCGCUCAGGGAACGUGACGGGUUCUUGCCGUGAAACCCCCCACAUAUCAAGGUUGACCUCGGAUCAGGUAGGAAUACCCGCUGAACUUAAGCAUAUCAAUAAGCGAGGA